This is a long non-coding RNA of Ornithorhynchus anatinus (platypus), 300 nucleotides long. RefSeq lists it as uncharacterized. The transcript has 3 exons. NCBI's taxonomy places the organism in Eukaryota, Metazoa, Chordata, Mammalia, Monotremata, Ornithorhynchidae. The record is from RefSeq and is a predicted model, not a curated record.
CCUACUCAAAGUCCAGCUUCAACUAAGAAGAUCCUUCCUGAUCCUGGUUCAGUUGCCAUCUGAAGGAUCCUGUGGAACUGAGGCUUAUGGACAAAUCAUGGAAUUCUUUUGAUCUCUAUGCUAGGAACACCAGUCCUCUCCCAGGUUCUGUUCUCCAGGCUGGUCGAUCUAUCACAGUGGUCUCCAACAGACAUCAUCGUUGUUUGCUUCACCCUGUGUGGUUCCCCUUCAAGUCACCAUUUAGCAGAUGUGUGGGCAUCCUGUUGACAGCGGCUUGGGUAUCUGUUGGCAGCUAUGCAG